UUCGGAACUCGUACAAGGAUCUUUAUCCUCAUGUUUCAAAGAUAAUACCAAAUUGGUAUGCAAAGGAGGAGGAUUUGAAGAACCUUUCUAGCCCUUGAAAGAAUACAGUUCCGUCCAAGGAGGAGGAUUUGAAGAACCUUUCUAGCCCUUGAAAGAAUACAGUUCCAUCCAUAUUAAACAACCUAGAUGUCAUUGAUGGAAACAGUUGCUUUGGAUGCAUUGAACUUUUGUAUACUUUUUUUUGUGUUUGAAAUGAAAGCGUCUAUUUAUUUAUAUUUAUUAUAUCAUUAUUUUGAAAUUCUCAUUGUAGUUAACUGCAACACCAAUUGAUUUGCUUCAGCUUCCUCAUUCGAUUUGAUAUUCUUUAGAUAAAAUUUGUUAGAC
RNAcentral lists this long non-coding RNA (384 nucleotides) under Lathyrus oleraceus (garden pea). RNAcentral's name for it is "Pisum sativum (pea) long non-coding RNA (PSAT_LNC009650)". The record is from RNAcentral. Lineage: Eukaryota; Viridiplantae; Streptophyta; Magnoliopsida; Fabales; Fabaceae.